UACCAUUAAUUUGGGUCUCUGACCAUUGG
This 29-nucleotide non-coding RNA is filed under the name Rattus norvegicus (Norway rat). Lineage: Eukaryota; Metazoa; Chordata; Mammalia; Rodentia; Muridae. The record is from RNAcentral.